Long non-coding RNA from Melanotaenia boesemani (Boeseman's rainbowfish), 2091 nucleotides. RefSeq lists it as uncharacterized. NCBI's taxonomy places the organism in Eukaryota, Metazoa, Chordata, Actinopteri, Atheriniformes, Melanotaeniidae. The transcript is spliced from 3 exons. The record is from RefSeq and is a predicted model, not a curated record.
CCCAAAGCUGCGCUCCCGCUAAUCUCCCUGCGCCUCAAGUGACCGAAGUGGCGCAAAAUCUCCUUAACACUAAACGGAAUAAAGUUUUUUUCUUUUUCUUUUUCUUUUUUUUUUUAACAGGAAAUCCUCAGAGUGUAACGUUUGCUUCACGUCGGUGAAACAAUGGAUGGAAGAUUCUUUUGAUGGGGACUGAAGAACAACGGAUGCAAGGGUCGAUGAAAAGAUUUGUGAGAUCAGUCAUUGAUGCAGCACAGCUGACCUCAGCCAGAGCCAACACUGUGCCAGGGUAUGAGACGAUAAAUUUGUGCAAACACACACACAAAGAAAGGGAGAUAAACACACACUCAUCGUUUGAAUGGGGCAUACUCAUUUCUUCACAUUAAGUAGAAGUUUCACUCAUCUGUUCAUGUCAUGUCUUACUGCUCCACUUUCACAUCACCCAUCAGUUAGUCCAGCACACACACACACACACACACACACACACACACACACACACACACACACACACACACACACACACACACACACACACACACACACUUCACUGAACAUCAGCCAUCACCUUCUCUGACAGACACCUAAAUGUACAUCUUCACAUUCAUGCAGUCUUACAUCUCACAUCAGAUUACCCCAGAUUCACACACAUCCGCACACACACAAGUCAUCACACAUCAGUUAUGUGUUUUAAGCUGAAGGAGAGAAGGGCCUGUUGGUAACGGGAUGGGUUGACAGGGUAGAAGAGGAAGUACACAGGAAGUACAUUAGUUAUCACUCCUCUGUCUUCUCCACCUUUUCACUUCCUAUCACCAACAGACGUCUCAGACACGGGACGAGCUACUUCUUCUCAUCCCACCCCUGUCCUCCCCUCUCUCUGCCUCUUCUCUUUCUAACACACACGCCUUUAAAAAUGACUUCCGUGCUCCAUUUUAACGUCCCUGGGAUGUAGAUGACACUUAGCGAGCUGCAAAGGCUGCAAGACAACCCCAUGAAAUAUUUGAAUAAAAUAUGGCAUGCUAUAAGAGGUGAAAAUGAAGGGGGAAUAAACGAUGGGAAAAAAAUGAAUACAAGACAAAGGAUGAGCAAAGGAGAGUGACAUGACAUUACUCAGAGGAUGAGUGGAAAGGAAGGACAGGAAAUGCAGAUGGACUGCUUGAGCUCACAAUAAACUGAGCAGAUUACCUGUAAACCAGUUUACUGGACUGUUGUAUGACAUCACAUUGCUCAUCAUAACAGCUCAGCAAAUUUUAUGACUUUGUAAAUUAACUCUUUUUGACAUUUCUGUCAACAGAAGUCCUUGUAACCACACUACGGACUAAAUUAGAUGUCAAUCCCUACAUGGCAACAUGCUGAGUGAGGGUUUCUUUAAGCAUGCAUUUCUGCUACUCUAAAAAUUGUAGUUUAAGAAAAUAAUGUGUUGUUUUUAUUUUAAGUCUCUGGAGCACCAAAUCUCAUUUAGAAGCUCAUUUCAUUUAGAAGAAAAAGGAAAAGUCAGAAUAUUAUCUCUUAUUUUAGUUAAUUCUGAAGAAAAACUGUCAUAAAUAGCAAAAAUGUUAGGCCCAAAUUGUUCAUCUAGAAUCUUUUGGGUUUCCAUUAGGACCCCAGCCAGCUGAAGUAGUUGGUGUAUUGUGCUACUGUACUUGUUAGUAAUCGAUCUUAGAGCCACUGACGUCUGCUUGACUUUAAUGCUGAUUUCAUGUGAUUAGCUAAAGACAUCCAGUAUAGUCCUGGUGGUGCUAAAUGAAGUUGCUCAUUGGAGUUCUUCAUCAUAUUUUAUAAAUAUGUAGAUCUUACCAUUUUAGUUCAGAAGUCUCAGGAUUUUAUUACAUGGUUUGAAAUGAUGAAAACAGCAGCUUCCAAGACCAUUUCUCACUGCUGUGUAUGAAUCUGAAACAAACUAAAAAAGGAUUUCUGGCCAGAAAUGAGCUGAACAUUGGUGAUGAGUUGCUCUGACAACGUUUGAGGCUUGCAGACUUAUGAUGACGAUGGAGAAGAAAUGUAAAAUCAGGACAGACAGCAUCAGCAGAAAUCAACAAAGGAACUUGCCGUCGUCUUUUUUUUUACAUUUUGUGCUUCUUUAGGCUUUCAACUUUC